UAGCUGAGAGACAAGAGAAGUCAGAGCGAAGAGUUCACUGCCGCAAGAGCCAUGCACAAAGAGGCGGAGAGUGGAAUGCAGCCAAGGAUGACUUGCCAGCAGCACAGAACAAGGCGGUAAUCUUUGAUACGAUUGCCAUUUGCCCGGCAAGUCCAUCCUUGGCUACACCUUACUCUCUACCUCUCCUGUAUUGCUUUUGCAUGGCCUGGAGAAAUUUGAAUUUUCUUGGUGCCUCUUCCUUCCAUAGGGGUAACACUAGUGAGCCAGAAGCAACCAGGUUUUGCGCUUGGGGGGGGGGGGGGGGGGGGGAGCAAGGCGCUCGACCACGGCUAAAUUUAGAAGGCCGAGGCCAAAACAGAAAGAAAAAAACAUACAACACAGUGACGCGGAGAAGCUCUGGAUCCAUGCUGCCUUCAGAAUUGACUUGCAGAUAGAGCAGGAGCAUCGCCAAUGCCAUAGGAUAACAUCGGUGGCAAUGUUCCACGAAAUGGUGGCGGGAGCAGAUGGUCGCUGCGGAAGACUUUGGCGUUGCAGCUCAGCUGUCAGAAUCAGAAUGGAUGACUCAGAAGAAACAGUUCGAUCAUUGACGCUCAUUCAUAGAGAACAGGUGCAGCUAUAUAUCAUGUAUUUUCUGGUGAUCAUAUCUAAGGCAGAUCAUUGCUAUUUAAUGUGUGCUUGGAUAAUAAUUUCAUAUUUUUCCCAUGACAUGGAAAUUGCGGAACAACGACAUGAAUAUGUCUAACAACGUAAACUAAAUUUUCGAGCUCUCAAAAACACAUUUACCUAUAUUUACUCUGGUAUAGUCCACAUAUGAAAUGUUUGCUAACAUCAAAUAUUUAGGAGAUGUAACUGGCACCUCAGACUAUUAUGUAGGAUGAUAAAUAUCGUGAUCAAACAGCAAAGAAGUCCACUUGAUUGGGACACUUCCACAGAAGCCGUGACAGCAAGGCGGCACUAUUCCGAAAACAAAAUUAUACUUGCAGUUACUGCUGAAAACAAAUGUGUGAUAGCAUUAUCCCUACAUUAUUCCAAAUUUAUAAUAUACCAGCCAGUUAAAUUUUUUUUUUGAGGGGUACCAGCCAGUUAAGUGGAUACAAGAUUGUAUGGUGUGAAUUGUUCAAAAUAGCAAAAAUCUCAGUAGCACUGGAUGAACUUAAAUGGCAGUAAUGAAUGAUGACUACUUCAAGA
Triticum aestivum (bread wheat) is the source of this 1188-nucleotide long non-coding RNA. RefSeq lists it as uncharacterized. The transcript is spliced from 2 exons. The record is from RefSeq and is a predicted model, not a curated record. Lineage: Eukaryota; Viridiplantae; Streptophyta; Magnoliopsida; Poales; Poaceae.